Molecule: long non-coding RNA, 1060 nt
Organism: Canis lupus familiaris (dog)
Lineage: Eukaryota; Metazoa; Chordata; Mammalia; Carnivora; Canidae
Exons: 4
Source: RefSeq, a predicted model, not a curated record
AUUAGAGGAGUGUGGAAUGUUCUUAUGGCCAUUCUAAGCCCACAAGUACUUAAUUUCUCCACAAAGAGGAAAAAAGCUAUUGUUUUCGGUUUACUCAGAUUUUUUUUCUUACUCAUUUCAUUAUUGGCCAAUCUUCAAAAUGAAAGCUAUGGUGAUAUCCUAGGAAGUUCAUCUCAAGGGCAGCCGGGCAGUGCGCAUAUGGCAACACAGUCCCUGCUUUCACAGGCAAGAACAGAGAAGGUGGACAGAGGACACUGACACAGAGCCAGGGAAAGCAAGGAGACCUCGCCCCCCCAAAGGUGAUCACAUAAAUGGAUGGAAAGUCCAUGUCUGGAUGUGUGAAAGUGAAGGCUUUUUAUGAGUGACUAGCCCACCUGAAGGCCCCAGUGGGGUCAGCUGCCUGAACCAUGCUCCUCCGGAAUCAGACAUGGUGCCAUCGCAGGUGAAAAAGGACGAGCGGAUUCUAGCAACCCAGAGUUAGUGCAGAGAUUUUAUCCUAUGGAUUUGAACGCUCCGUGUAAUUCAACUCAAUCUGAAAGGAUGUUGAGCGGAACGUGACCACGAUAACAGAGGUGCACCUUCCACACAUGGACAGAAUUCAGUCUCAAGUAUCAUGACGUCCAGACCUUCUCCAAGCCUGGGUCAUCCAAGUUUACAAAGAAAUGGGAGACAAGUGGAGGUGCUGACAAAUAUUUAUGCUACUAUUUUCUGUUAGAAAUGGAGUUGAGAAUGAAGGAGCAACAAAGAAGUGCACUCACGUGUCAGCGCUAUUCCUGAGUACAUACCAGCGGCCUUUGUGGCCUUUCCCUAAGCUCAGCGGUGUCCUCCACAAGGCUCCUGCGCCCCGGGGCGGCCCCCAACACGGGGCACCUCUGCCGCGACCUGCACUCAGGCGCUGGUUCCAAAAGACCGGUUUGUCAUGAACGCAGGGACUUACCCUGCUCCCUUUGUUUAAACACCCCACACCUAAGUAAUUAGGGCCCAAGAUGAAAAAGAUUGUUAGAAAAAAAAGAUUUUGAAUGAAAAUUGCAAGUAAUGUAUUUGCAGAAUAAAGGGACAG